CUUAACAUGACUGAAGGCUGAAGUCUUUGAGCAGGAGAAACACACAAGGAGAGUGUGCGCAUUUUAGUAUGAUUAAGGUCAUAAACUGAAACUGAGUAAAUUCAAAGAUUUUCUGUCUGCGUUUGGAGUCAUGCUUAAACAGGAAGAGGUGGGAACCAAAGCAGAGGAGAGACUGCAUCUGCACCAAGGCUCCAAAACAUAGACCUGUCUGACCCAGUUUGAAACUAGCAUGGGCUCCUUCAGUUUGGAGGUUAUCCAGAAAACAUCAAAGAAUAACACACACCCUGUGAAACAGCCACAAGAAUGGAUGAUGUGGUUCAUUGGGUAUGAUGCACCCAAGGACCUCACUCCUGUGAUGGAUGCCAUUCCUGCCUCAGAAAACUAUGUGAUCAGUUUGUCAAGGCAACUGUGGUCAUACUAUAACCACUUCAGACAGAAGAUUCAGGAUCUGAAAGAUAAGUUUCUGCAAGUUUCAUGAAAACUAGUGACUUUGCUGAAGCAAGAGGUUGUGACUUGUCCUCAGUGCAAAAAUUGCCAGGUAAGAGGAUAUAUUCUGUUUGGCCUGCCACUUGAAUGUUGAACAUGAACCUGUUUGCUAGUUGGCAUAUGUACAUAGCUUUAAAAUACCUACAGCCAAUGCUACAUCAUGCCAGCUUGCAGCCAGGGAAAGGAAGCAUGGGAUAUGAAGGGAAGGUGGAGAGGGACUAGGAAGAAGCAUGGGGUACAUUGGAGCUAUUACUGUCAUGGCUGAGGAAUGGGUGGACUUAACAGGUCCAUUGGAUAUGAAGGGAAAUUAACAGCAUUGACUCUGAUAAAUGGGAUUUUUGCUGUCAGUAGUGUGUAAAUCCACAGGAAAGGUGGCACCAUUUAUUCUACUUGUCUUGGAACAACCUGUUUGUUACCAUUAAAAGAUUGGACCUUUUUGUUUCAUAACUGAGCAGAACGCUUCUGGGCAUCUGAGCUGGCCUAGCUGUUACAAGCUGCCUUAGCCUGCCUCUAAAUUUGCAGUCUGGUGGAUUCUUCUUUAUCCAGCCUAAUUCCAGUUUCAGUUUCUCUGCUGAGUUUGCCUAGAAAGUCUACUGUUUUCCUGCCAGGUCUGAAGGUAAGAAUAAGCUUGCCACAGGGAAAUUUUUGUUUGAAAUAGAAACACAAGAAAUUUUUACCAAGAUGGGGCAUGGUAAAUAGACAGGAC
Molecule: long non-coding RNA, 1192 nt
Filed under: Anas platyrhynchos platyrhynchos (common mallard)
Lineage: Eukaryota; Metazoa; Chordata; Aves; Anseriformes; Anatidae
Description: lncRNA (ENSAPLG00000030731.1)
Source: RNAcentral